UAUUUUUACCCACGUUGUAGCCUUCCAAGCCUUCUGAGGUCGUUUUACUCAUGGUUCAGGCAUAAGAAGUGCAGAGAAAGCCUGCUCUACCCUGUCUGUGCUGCCGCUGGCCUCGCCUGUGGAGACUCUGGCAUGCCGGAGUCACACACACCGACAUCUGUGCUUGAAUGUAGAACCAAUUCAGCUAUUCAAAGGAACUGUUGCACUGCUUUUGUCUGCGGUCGCAGAGUCUCGCCCUGACCCUGGAGUUGAUAGACCGGGCUAGGCUAGCUGGCUGGUGAGCGUUGAGAAUCCUGUGUUUCCGCCCGAGGUCCCCAGCUCAAGGAUUACAGUCCUGCUUUUCUUCCCAUGGAGCACCUCUGCAGUGAUGCCUGUGUCUUUCUGUGGGCUGCCUCGGCCUUCGUUAGCAGCCACGCCAGCCCAGCAGUCAUCUGAUGAGUGGAUAGAGGCUGCCCAGGAGGCUUGCCUGUUCUCAGGGCGCAGUAAUUGGUGCAGAGUGAAUCCUGAGCAUAUGAAGGUUCAUCCGUAAGACUGUCAAACCUGAGGCAGCCCUGGCUCUUGAUGGUCACUGCUAACCAGUUCUCUAGAAGCUGAGCUGCGCUGCCUGAGGCCUCUACCCCUGAGAUCUGGCUUGCUUCUCUUCAUGCAGAACCCCCUCAACCACUACCUCUGCUUCCUCUGACCGAAUGGGAUUUUGCCUUCUAACUCUUCAGGGGAACCGAAGUGUCCAGAAAGCAGCGCUGGUGUCUCCAUUCUGCACCGGCCAGCUGCAGAACCCUUUUCUUCUUUCACUAGAAUUGUGGCUGUGGAUGGAAGAAUAAAAUCUCUCACUUGAAGGAGAAGCAUUUUAUUUUAUUUUUUUUUCACCCCAGCCU
This is a long non-coding RNA of Psammomys obesus (fat sand rat), 875 nucleotides long. RefSeq lists it as uncharacterized. The record is from RefSeq and is a predicted model, not a curated record. The transcript is spliced from 3 exons. Lineage: Eukaryota; Metazoa; Chordata; Mammalia; Rodentia; Muridae.